RNAcentral lists this transfer RNA (84 nucleotides) under Chloroflexota bacterium. Its description in RNAcentral is "Chloroflexi bacterium (marine sediment metagenome) tRNA-Leu". It matches the Rfam family "tRNA". Rfam says of the family: Transfer RNA (tRNA) molecules are approximately 80 nucleotides in length. Their secondary structure includes four short double-helical elements and three loops (D, anti-codon, and T loops). RNAcentral also lists the same sequence under 2 other names. The record is from RNAcentral. Lineage: Bacteria; Bacillati; Chloroflexota.
GCCGAAGUGGCGGAACUGGCAGACGCGCUGCGUUCAGGGCGCAGUGGGCUUCGGCCCUUGUGGGUUCAACUCCCACCUUCGGCA